RNAcentral lists this ribosomal RNA (492 nucleotides) under uncultured bacterium. RNAcentral's name for it is "partial 16S ribosomal RNA". It matches the Rfam family "Bacterial small subunit ribosomal RNA", at positions 29 to 507 of the family's 1533-position model. The record is from RNAcentral.
AGUGAACGCUGGCGGUAGGCCUAACACAUGCAAGUCGAACGGCAGCACAGUAAGAGCUUGCUCUUACGGGUGGCGAGUGGCGGACGGGUGAGGAAUACAUCGGAAUCUACUUUUUCGUGGGGGAUAACGUAGGGAAACUUACGCUAAUACCGCAUACGACCUACGGGUGAAAGCAGGGGAUCUUCGGACCUUGCGCGAUUGAAUGAGCCGAUGUCGGAUUAGCUAGUUGGCGGGGUAAAGGCCCACCAAGGCGACGAUCCGUAGCUGGUCUGAGAGGAUGAUCAGCCACACUGGAACUGAGACACGGUCCAGACUCCUACGGGAGGCAGCAGUGGGGAAUAUUGGACAAGGGGCGCAAGCCUGAUCCAGCCAUACCGCGUGGGUGAAGAAGGCCUUCGAGUUGUAAAGCCCUUUUGUUGGGAAAGAAAAGCAGCAGGUUAAUACCCCGCUGUUCUGACGGUACCCAAAGAAUAAGCACCGGCUAACUUCGUG